UACAGAGGGUGCGAGCGUUAAUCGGAAUUACUGGGCGUAAAACGUGCGUAGACGGUUAUAUAAGUCGGGUGUGAAAGCCCCGGGCUCAACCUGGGAAUUGCAUUCGAGACUGCAUAGCUAGGGUGCGGAAGAGGGAAGCGGAAUUUCCGGUGUAGCGGUGAAAUGCGUAGAUAUCGGAAGGAACAUCAGUGGCGAAAGCGGCUUCCUGGUCCAGCACCGACGUUCAGGCACGAAAGCGUGGGGAGCAAACAGG
Molecule: ribosomal RNA, 253 nt
Filed under: uncultured bacterium
Lineage: Bacteria
Description: partial 16S ribosomal RNA
Rfam family: Bacterial small subunit ribosomal RNA
Source: RNAcentral